AUCGCUCUGUCUUGUUUCAGUUACCAGCAUAGUCUUGCCUGGGAAGAAAAUGUAAAUCAUGGGCAACUUGAGAGUCGAGAAGAAAAACCUAGUCCAGGUGCGAGUUGCCUGAGGAGUUCGUCGCCGACGUCAUCGGCUGCGGAAGACGGCGAUGGCCGACACUGGCUGGACGGCGAUGGCGCAACAGCGGCUUGGCGGGACGGACGUCUCACCACAGUGUGCGUAUGAACGAUGACAUCGAAGAAAGGCAUCAAGAUCAACUGGGAUGGAACUGGCCACAAAUUAAGCACAAGAGGAUAGUCUGCACGUUGGCGGAAAGCUCGUCGGCGCGGGCGUCGUCCGCUGCACAUGGCGGCGAUGGUGCAGGACAGGGUGGGCGGCUACAACGUACGUCCGGGUGGGAAAAGGCAGGAAGAUAGAGCUGACUCUAGUCAUUUGUUGUGAGGCGGUCCUGUUACUUGCCGUUAAUUGUGGCUAAUUUUGUGUAGUUGAUUGCCUUUGACCAAUUUUUCCUUUUUGCGGGGUGGUGGAAUUGUUGGAUCGAAACACCUUACUUUUAUGUGGACGGUUAGGGCAACUCCAAUGGCCGAUUCAAUCGGAGGACGAUUUUUUUGUUUUUA
Hordeum vulgare subsp. vulgare (domesticated barley) is the source of this 620-nucleotide long non-coding RNA. RefSeq lists it as uncharacterized. NCBI's taxonomy places the organism in Eukaryota, Viridiplantae, Streptophyta, Magnoliopsida, Poales, Poaceae. The record is from RefSeq and is a predicted model, not a curated record. The transcript has 2 exons.